AUGGAUGUAACAAGAACACGCCAGAAGAACAAGAUUCUCCAUCAUGAUUGUAAGGCACACAUGAUUGUUGGACUUAGGGAGGAGAGAUGGACAGUGACCUGCUUUGUUGCGGAGCAUACACAACCAUUGAUGCAACAACCAGAGCGUGUUAGAUACUACCACUCACACCGCAAUAUACCUGCCGAGGAUUACCAAGACCCUGAGUACCAAGGGCAAGGUCUACUAUUCAAGCUAACAUCAAGCUUAUAUGAGAACCCAAAGCUCUAUUUUGUGCAUGUUAUGAUGGAUGAAGGGGUGUUUCAAUGUAGUUGCCACUAA
RNAcentral lists this ribosomal RNA (318 nucleotides) under Triticum aestivum (bread wheat). RNAcentral describes it as "partial small subunit ribosomal RNA". Lineage: Eukaryota; Viridiplantae; Streptophyta; Magnoliopsida; Poales; Poaceae. The record is from RNAcentral.